CAAAAAAAAGUUUAGAGACCAGUACAACACUUCGUCUUUUUUCCCCAAAUUUCCAAGCACACAAAAACCCUAGCUCCAUUCAAAUCCCUCUCUUCCCACUCCUUCCCCAUUCGUCGCGUCGCUCAUCUCGUAACCAGUCAACAUCCCCACGACCAUCACUUCUCUUUCGUGCCUUGAAUCUCGUCUUUGCUAAUCAUUUCACAGGAUCUAUUCGUUAUGAAGGUCAUCCAUUCGGCAUUACUUUUGGCUCUUAACCGUGUUAUCAUAUAUUAUAGCUGGUAGUGGACGUGUCCCUCCUCCGGGAGAUGUAUCAGCAGGUCAUGGGCGUGGGCGCACAUCAGACUCCGGACGUGGACAUGGGCGGGCAUCAAACUCCGGUGGUGGACGUGGGCGUGCAUCGGACUUUGGUGGUGGUCGUAGGAGGGCAUCGAACUCCGGUACUAGACGUGGGCGGUCAUCGGACUCCGGUGCUGGACGUGGGCGUGCAUCGGACUCCGGUGCGGGACGUGGGCGGGCAUCGAACUCUGGUACAAAACUCGAUAUAGGUUGGAUCAAGCAAAUGAUGAGUUCAUUAGAGAAGGAUUUGAGAAUGUGUUAAAGCGUCGUUUUCCAGACAUAAUGUCGGGUCACCGAGAAGAAUCAACAAAGAAGGCAAGGAAUGCUGGGCAUGUUUUCCCGGAGAAUGAAUAUGAUUUUGCCGCAAUGUGUAAGUAUCCGCCGCGCUUCGUGCACGAGGACAUAUGGCAUGAGUUAUGUAUGGGUUGGAACACAGAUGCAUAGCAUAAGAAGUCCGAGAUAGGUAAACGCAACCGCAAGAAAGCCGAUUCUGACGGUGUGAUUUCCCGACAUACAGGCGGGUCUAGGGGCUAUGAUGAGCACCGCAUCAUCUUGGAACGGACAUUGGGUCGGUCACCCACUAUUAAGGAACUCUUCCUUGCAACCCACCUCACCAAAGAAUCCAAGAAAAAGUUUUGGGCAGGGAUGUAUGAUGAAAGCUUGGAGGGGGCAGAUUUUUGUACUGAGCUAUCGAAAAAAGUAUAUGAGGCAUAUACGAGAUACAUGAUUGAAAAGUACGGGGAAGACAUCACUCAGCAUCCGGUGGGUGAUGCUGACUUGUGGGAGCGUGCGCAAGGAGGGAACAGAUUUGGGAUCGGGUCUUUGGAUCUUAGUUUUGUCGUUACCGGCACAACGUCUUCGUCAUCCGGGUCUGCCUCCUAUGCUGACUACCAGCUCUCGCGAGAGGAGGUGCGGAACUUGCAAUCCCAGGUGGAAAGGUUAAAUAAACGAUUCGAAGAGGCGUCACAAUCCCACUUGAAAUGUUAUAAAACCGAGUCGAAGAGAUGCAACAACAAAUGAGAGAAGAUAUGCAACGAUAAAUGGCCGAGUUUAUGAAACAAUUUGGUAAUCCUAGCAAUCCUCCACUAUAGUUUAGUUUUUGUUUGUUGUCUUUUGCGGAUGAACUUGUAAUUUGAGAACCGCGUCAUAUUGUGGUUGAACUUUUAGUUGGAAAACCAUAUUGUAUUUUGUGGACCAACUUUAGUUUAUAAUGGUAUUGUAUUUUGGAUUUU
Long non-coding RNA from Helianthus annuus (common sunflower), 1568 nucleotides. RefSeq lists it as uncharacterized. The record is from RefSeq and is a predicted model, not a curated record. NCBI's taxonomy places the organism in Eukaryota, Viridiplantae, Streptophyta, Magnoliopsida, Asterales, Asteraceae. The transcript has 7 exons.